AUGUCAUUUGCACGCUCCUGCUUGGGAACUCUGCUGGUGCUGCUGCUGUGUGCAUUCAUUUCAGAGGUCAAUGGACAUGGGCCUCUCCAGAACUACAAUCCCCAGCAUGCAUCUGACAACAUCAUGUGUUCGGACAGCCAAUCGCUGCUCUCAUGCUGGUCAUCUCUAGAAUUCUAGAAUUGUUUUAAGCUGUAAGUCGACACCAAUGAUUUGUGUUUGAUGAAACGUGGGUGGAGGAGAUGGAUGUGAAACACAGUUCAAGUGUCAUUUGCAGAAGGUUUUUCAGUGUGGUGGUGUGAGGUUAUCCACUCGAAGCCUUUGUGCCAGAGCCAGUGCAAUGCUCGACAGACAGAUGAAUGUCAAGUCAACGCUUAUAGCAGGCUCGACCUUGACCCAGCCAUAAGAAGUGUGUUGAAGAGAAGUGUGUAGAAACGAAUCUGCCAUUAGAAAACAAUGCAUUAGAGGCUUAUUAAACACACACAUCCCUCUUUUUUGGUUUAUGCUCUUGAAACUCUUGAAACUCACCUUCUGUGAAGAGCUUUUGAAAUAAUUACCUUGACAUUUUUUAAUUAGGAUAAGUAUGGAAAGGUGCUUUCUGAUAAUUAGCUUAGUCUCUUUUUGGUGUUGGUGACUAAUCGUCUUGCAUUUAAACAUAGUUUUUUGCAUGUUUAUUAGGGAUAUCACUGACCGGUCAUGUAUUUGGAAAUCGGGGGCUGAUCAUAUAUUUUUUAAAGGAUCAAAAUCUUGUGAAAAAGACUCGAAUCACUGAUGGAUCAAAAAUCUAAUGUUACAAGUUGACUGUGCACUGUGUUGCACAUGCACAGUGAGAAUGUUGUGAGUGUGUUGUUGGCCACUCGUGCUCUCACACUUCAUUUUCCUCCAAACUGUCGACACACCGCUGCUGUGCUGAAGACUCUCUCUUUCAAAUGCUCUCUCUCUCUCUCUCUCUCUCUCUCUCUCUCUCU
RNAcentral lists this long non-coding RNA (965 nucleotides) under Astyanax mexicanus (Mexican tetra). RNAcentral describes it as "lncRNA (ENSAMXG00005008132.1)". Lineage: Eukaryota; Metazoa; Chordata; Actinopteri; Characiformes; Acestrorhamphidae. The record is from RNAcentral.